Long non-coding RNA from Sciurus carolinensis (gray squirrel), 1281 nucleotides. RefSeq lists it as uncharacterized. The transcript is spliced from 6 exons. The record is from RefSeq and is a predicted model, not a curated record. Lineage: Eukaryota; Metazoa; Chordata; Mammalia; Rodentia; Sciuridae.
GGGUAGGAAUGUCCCAGCGUUAACUUUCUGAAUUGUGGGGUGCUCUGUUGUGUUGGCACAUGUCCCUGCUGGUGUGAAACAUGCUGCACACUCUGGGGUGAUGGCAUGGCAGGUCAGUGACAUACUCCUUAAUGAUUCAACUUCCUUUAACAUUGGGGUCUUAAACCAAAAUAAACUCCUCAGGUCACUCAGGGCCCUCUCAGGGCCUAGUAGUGAAGGAGCAUGGGCAAAGGAAGGUGUAGGGCUUCAGCUCCUCCAGGGAGGAGGGAUUGGGUUUGUUCACCUGCCAGUGAUUCAGGAUGCCAUUCAUCACAGCAGAAUGCCAAUCCUUCACCUGCUACCUGUGCCUUCUGUCCUGUGGGGUCUUGGAUGUGCUGUCAUAUUUCUCAGGGUACCUUUCUGGAGUAGAAAGGGAUUAUUCUUCCAUGUGAGAUGUGGAUAUGAUGAGGAUCCUAACGGGCGACACUUACCUGGUGCUUGAAGGGCCUGGCAAUAGUCUAGGUGGCCUGGUGGGUGCCCUGGAGGCAGUGCUGGAUUCCAACACCGAGGUAGCUCCCUCUCAAGUUCUGCUUCAAGUUCCCGGCUCACAGGUGUACUCUCCCAUAGCAUGUGGAGAGUUCCUGGAUGGAUGCAAUGUUCACUGGGCCAUAGCCACUGGUGAGGCUUGUUCCAGACCCUGAGUUGUGAACAUGCGGAGCAUUUGCUUGUUGGUGUGCUUGCAGGUACCACAUUAGAGGAAAUCAACCAGCACUGGAAGUGGCUAGGACAGAAUCUCCUCCAUACUCUGUGUUUGAUUAUAAAGACGACAUGGCCAGCUUUGUCAAGGGGAAGGUGAAGUUCAACUUGUAAUACCUUGGGUUGAUAUCCAGAAAUUGGAAAGGACAGCCACCGUCUUUGUGGCGGACACCAUCCGGAUCACCACACAGAAUAAGGAGCGUGACUCCUCCAUGUUUCUGAUUCUGUAUGUGGUCUUGAAGAUCAUGGAGCAGCUGGUAGAUGUGAUGCUGCGGAGGCUGCUGGAUAAUGAGGUCUGGAGCCAGAUGUGCAGGAGCCAAGCCAGAUCACCAAGAGGCAUGCAGUUCAGUGGCAUUAAGUAUGUUCACACUGAUACAUGACCAUCCUCACUGCCCAUUCCAGAACUCUUCUGACUUGAUUAAACUAAAAGUCUACCUACUACACACUACCACCCUGUUCAACCUUGCCUCACAACCGCCAUUCUGCUGUCUCUGUGGAAUCAGCUGGAUCCCUCACGGCUGAAUCAUAAUCCAUCGUAUGUACAUA